RNAcentral lists this ribosomal RNA (480 nucleotides) under uncultured bacterium. RNAcentral describes it as "bacterial SSU rRNA". It matches the Rfam family "Bacterial small subunit ribosomal RNA", at positions 30 to 507 of the family's 1533-position model. The record is from RNAcentral.
AUUGAACGCUGGCGGAAUGCUUUACACAUGCAAGUCGAACGGUAGAGGGGGCAACCCCUUGAGAGUGGCGAACGGGUGAGUAAUGUAUCGGAACGUGCCCAGUAGUGAGGGAUAACUACUCGAAAGAGUGGCUAAUACCGCAUGAGAACUGAGGUUGAAAGCGGGGGACCUUCGGGCCUCGCGCUACUGGAGCGGCCGAUAUCAGAUUAGGUAGUUGGUGGGGUAAAGGCCUACCAAGCCGACGAUCUGUAGCUGGUCUGAGAGGACGACCAGCCACACUGGAACUGAGACACGGCCCAGACUCCUACGGGAGGCAGCAGUGGGGAAUUUUGGACAAUGGGCGCAAGCCUGAUCCAGCCAUGCCGCGUGCGGGAAGAAGGCCUUCGGGUUGUAAACCGCUUUUGGCAGGAACGAAACGGCGUCCUCUAAUACGGGACGUUAAUGACGGUACCUGCAGAAUAAGCACCGGCUAACUACGUG